This 443-nucleotide ribosomal RNA is filed under the name uncultured bacterium. RNAcentral describes it as "partial 16S ribosomal RNA". It matches the Rfam family "Bacterial small subunit ribosomal RNA", at positions 338 to 795 of the family's 1533-position model. The record is from RNAcentral.
CCUACGGGAGGCAGCAGUGGGGAAUAUUGGACAAUGGGGGGAACCCUGAUCCAGCGACGCCGCGUGAGUGAAGAAGUAUUUCGGUAUGUAAAGCUCUAUCAGCAGGGAAGAAAGAAAUGACGGUACCUGACUAAGAAGCCCCGGCUAACUACGUGCCAGCAGCCGCGGUAAUACGUAGGGGGCAAGCGUUAUCCGGAUUUACUGGGUGUAAAGGGAGCGUAGACGGCGAUGCAAGUCUGAAGUGAAAGGCGGGGGCCCAACCCCCGGACUGCUUUGGAAACUGUAGGGCUGGAGUGCAGGAGAGGUAAGUGGAAUUCCUAGUGUAGCGGUGAAAUGCGUAGAGAUUAGGAGGAACACCAGUGGCGAAGGCGGCUUACUGGACUGUAACUGACGUUGAGGCUCGAAAGCGUGGGGAGCAAACAGGAUUAGAUACCCGAGUAGUC